UCCACAGAGUGAAGAAGAGUAUCCCUUGCCCUAUUUUCUUCACGCAGAAACCACCUUUAUCCAUUUCCUCACAGGAACCCUAAGAUAUUUUUCUUCCAAAUUUACCCAAGAAAACAAUGGACCUUGCUUCAAAGCUCCAAGUAAUCGACCUUCGUUCCACUUUCCUCACUGGCAGAGCCAACCUUCUUCGCCCUCAUGGUGUUAUUCUCCCAGUAACCUCUAAUACCUCUGUGAAAACCACGAGAUGUAGGAGAAAAAGCCUUAGAAUUUCAUCAAAAUUGCAAGCAGUAGCUGUUGAAACAGCCGAAACAGAUGUAAAACAAGACGAUAU
Molecule: long non-coding RNA, 331 nt
Filed under: Capsicum annuum
Lineage: Eukaryota; Viridiplantae; Streptophyta; Magnoliopsida; Solanales; Solanaceae
Description: long non-coding RNA (CANN_LNC019162)
Source: RNAcentral